This 639-nucleotide long non-coding RNA is filed under the name Felis catus (domestic cat). RNAcentral describes it as "lncRNA (ENSFCAG00000052778.1)". The record is from RNAcentral. Lineage: Eukaryota; Metazoa; Chordata; Mammalia; Carnivora; Felidae.
CUCCUUCAUUCUUACAGCAAUGUAUUUUUAAAAAUAUUAAAAAUCUUCAUGUAAAAAGUACUCAGUCAAUAAAAACAUGUCUGUAUUUUAAAAUAUCCACUGCAGAUAAAAUAUUAAAUUAUAUCCAUAUGUUAAUUUGCCUCUGGGGGCCAAAAUUGUGUUGAAUAAAUUUUUCCCUGUACCGUAUGGGUUGAUCAUCUUUCAAUUAGAAUCAGUCACGUAAUUUAGUAAAAAGAGAUAAACAAAUGGACAUUUCCUUACAUUAAGGAUAAACAGUGCCCCUAAUUUUUUACAGCUUUGUCAUCUCACUCCUUGGACAUCUUGUUUGUCAGGAUAUGCCAGUAUACCAGGCCCCCACCUGCCACCAUCAAUUAUCACUCUCUUGUCAUCGGUACCCUCACUUGUCAAUUUAUUUGCCACAAAUCCAGUGAAGACCUCUAAUCAGGGAGAAAAAAAAACAAAAGUAGUUCAUCUUUACAAGUCACAUCCAAGGAAGCAGAAGAGGCCAUAACCCCAGACCUCAUGGGGACCCAGUGAGCAGCACUCAGCCCAUCACCUCUACCAUUAUCCAUCUUUCCUUCAGCUUCAUCCUACUCUGCCUUCCUACGCCUUCUUUAAAUAAAUGCAGGCAAAUGAACA